Molecule: ribosomal RNA, 301 nt
Filed under: uncultured bacterium
Lineage: Bacteria
Description: partial 16S ribosomal RNA
Rfam family: Bacterial small subunit ribosomal RNA
Source: RNAcentral
CAGUCGCCACGGUAAUACGGAGGGUGCAAGCGUUAAUCGGAAUUACUGGGCGUAAAGCGUGCGUAGGCGGUUUGUUAAGUCUGCUGUGAAAUCCCCGGGCUCAACCUGGGAAUGGCAGUGGAUACUGGCAAGCUAGAGUGUGUCAGAGGAUGGUGGAAUUCCCGAUGUAGCGGUGAAAUGCGUAGAGAUCGGGAGGAACAUCAGUGGCGAAGGCGGCCAUCUGGGACAACACUGACGCUGAGGCACGAAAGCGUGGGGAGCAAACAGGAUUAGAUACCCGCGUAGUCCCUGUCUCUUAUAC